RNAcentral lists this ribosomal RNA (525 nucleotides) under Bifidobacterium longum subsp. suillum. RNAcentral describes it as "bacterial SSU rRNA". It matches the Rfam family "Bacterial small subunit ribosomal RNA", at positions 165 to 705 of the family's 1533-position model. The record is from RNAcentral. Lineage: Bacteria; Bacillati; Actinomycetota; Actinomycetes; Bifidobacteriales; Bifidobacteriaceae.
AAUGCCGGAUGCUCCAGCUUUUCGCAUGGUUUUUUGGGAAAGCUUUCGCGGUAUGGGAUGGGGUCGCGUCCUAUCAGCUUGACGGCGGGGUAACGGCCCACCGUGGCUUCGACGGGUAGCCGGCCUGAGAGGGCGACCGGCCACAUUGGGACUGAGAUACGGCCCAGACUCCUACGGGAGGCAGCAGUGGGGAAUAUUGCACAAUGGGCGCAAGCCUGAUGCAGCGACGCCGCGUGAGGGAUGGAGGCCUUCGGGUUGUAAACCUCUUUUAUCGGGGAGCAAGCGAGAGUGAGUUUACCCGUUGAAUAAGCACCGGCUAACUACGUGCCAGCAGCCGCGGUAAUACGUAGGGUGCAAGCGUUAUCCGGAAUUAUUGGGCGUAAAGGGCUCGUAGGCGGUUCGUCGCGUCCGGUGUGAAAGUCCAUCGCUUAACGGUGGAUCCGCGCCGGGUACGGGCGGGCUUGAGUGCGGUAGGGGAGACUGGAAUUCCCGGUGUAACGGUGGAAUGUGUAGAUAUCGGGAAGA